This 356-nucleotide ribosomal RNA is filed under the name uncultured Fusibacter sp. RNAcentral describes it as "bacterial SSU rRNA". It matches the Rfam family "Bacterial small subunit ribosomal RNA", at positions 1027 to 1382 of the family's 1533-position model. The record is from RNAcentral. Lineage: Bacteria; Bacillati; Bacillota; Clostridia; Eubacteriales; Fusibacteraceae.
AGCGUACACAGGUGCUGCAUGGCUGUCGUCAGCUCGUGUCGUGAGAUGUUGGGUUAAGUCCCGCAACGAGCGCAACCCUUGUGUUUAGUUGCAAACAGGUCAAGCUGUGCACUCUAGACAGACUGCCGUGGACAACACGGAGGAAGGUGGGGAUGACGUCAAAUCAUCAUGCCCCUUAUGAUCUGGGCUACACACGUGCUACAAUGGCCGGUACAACGGGCAGCGAAGGAGCGAUCCGGAGCGAAUCCUAAAAAGCCGGUCCCAGUUCGGAUUGCAGGCUGAAACUCGCCUACAUGAAGUUGGAGUUGCUAGUAAUCGCGAAUCAGAAUGUCGCGGUGAAUGCGUUCCCGGGUCUU